Molecule: ribosomal RNA, 522 nt
Filed under: uncultured Glomeraceae
Lineage: Eukaryota; Fungi; Glomeromycota; Glomeromycetes; Glomerales; Glomeraceae
Description: SSU rRNA
Rfam family: Eukaryotic small subunit ribosomal RNA
Source: RNAcentral
AGCAGCCGCGGUAAUUCCAGCUCCAAUAGCGUAUAUUAAAGUUGUUGCAGUUAAAAAGCUCGUAGUUGAAUUUCGGGGUUAGUAGAUUGGUCGUGCCAUUGGUACGUACUGGUCUCACUGAUUCCUCCUUCCUGAUGAACCGUAAUGCCAUUAAUUUGGUGUUGCGGGGAAACUGGACUGUUACUUUGAAAAAAUUAGAGUGUUUAAAGCAGGCUAACGCUUGAAUACAUUAGCAUGGAAUAAUGAAAUAGGACGUUCGAUCCUAUUUUGUUGGUUUCUAGGAUUGACGUAAUGAUUAAUAGGGAUAGUUGGGGGCAUUAGUAUUCAAUUGUCAGAGGUGAAAUUCUUGGAUUUAUUGAAGACUAACUACUGCGAAAGCAUUUGCCAAGGAUGUUUUCAUUAAUCAAGAACGAAAGUUAGGGGAUCGAAGACGAUCAGAUACCGUCGUAGUCUUAACCAUAAACUAUGCCGACUAGGGAUCGGAUGAUGUUAAUUUUUUAAUGACUCAUUCGGCGCCUUACG